RNAcentral lists this ribosomal RNA (253 nucleotides) under uncultured bacterium. RNAcentral describes it as "partial 16S ribosomal RNA". It matches the Rfam family "Bacterial small subunit ribosomal RNA", at positions 524 to 776 of the family's 1533-position model. The record is from RNAcentral.
UACAGAGGGUGCAAGCGUUGCUCGGAUUUACUGGGCGUAAAGCGUGCGCAGACGGCUGAGCAAGUUGGACGUGAAAGUCUGGGGCUCAACUCCAGAAUUGCGUUCAAUACUACUCGGCUCGAGUAUGAGAGAGGGAAGUGGAAUUCCUGGUGUAGAGGUGAAAUUCGUAGAUAUCAGGAGGAACACCAGCGGCGAAGGCGGCUUCCUGGCUCAUUACUGACGUUCAGGCACGAAAGCGUGGGGAGCAACCAGG